RNAcentral lists this ribosomal RNA (253 nucleotides) under uncultured bacterium. RNAcentral describes it as "partial 16S ribosomal RNA". It matches the Rfam family "Bacterial small subunit ribosomal RNA", at positions 524 to 776 of the family's 1533-position model. The record is from RNAcentral.
UACGUAGGGGGCUAGCGUUGUCCGGAAUCAUUGGGCGUAAAGCGCGUGUAGGCGGCCAGGUAGGUCCGACGUGAAAACUGGAGGCUCAACCUCCAGCUGUCGUUGGAAACCAUCUGGCUAGAGUCCGGAAGAGGAGAGUGGAAUUCCAGGUGUAGCAGUGAAAUGCGUAGAGAUCGGGAGGAACACCGGUGGCGAAGGCGGGUCUCUGGGCAUUCCCUGACGCUGAGGCGCGAAAGCGUGGGGAGCAAACGGG